GAUGAACGCUGGCGGCGUGCCUAAUACAUGCAAGUUGAGCGAACGGACGAGAAGCUUGCUUCUCUGAUGUUAGCGGCGGACGGGUGAGUAACACGUGGAUAACCUACCUAUAAGACUGGGAUAACUUCGGGAAACCGGAGCUAAUACCGGAUAAUAUUUUGAACCGCAUGGUUCAAAAGUGAAAGACGGUCUUGCUGUCACUUAUAGAUGGAUCCGCGCUGCAUUAGCUAGUUGGUAAGGUAACGGCUUACCAAGGCAACGAUGCAUAGCCGACCUGAGAGGGUGAUCAGCCACACUGGAACUGAGACACGGUCCAGACUCCUACGGGAGGCAGCAGUAGGGAAUCUUCCGCAAUGGGCGAAAGCCUGACGGAGCAACGCCGCGUGAGUGAUGAAGGUCUUCGGAUCGUAAAACUCUGUUAUUAGGGAAGAACAUAUGUGUAAGUAACUGUGCACAUCUUGACGGUACCUAAUCAGAAAGCCACGGCUAACUACGUG
RNAcentral lists this ribosomal RNA (497 nucleotides) under uncultured bacterium. Its description in RNAcentral is "partial 16S ribosomal RNA". It matches the Rfam family "Bacterial small subunit ribosomal RNA", at positions 28 to 507 of the family's 1533-position model. The record is from RNAcentral.